GCUUGGGUGGCCCAGUCGGUUGGGCGUCUGACUUCGGCUCAGGUCACGAUCUCAUGUUCUGUGAGUUCGAGCCCUGCUUCGGGCU
This 85-nucleotide transfer RNA is filed under the name Felis catus (domestic cat). It matches the Rfam family "tRNA". Rfam says of the family: Transfer RNA (tRNA) molecules are approximately 80 nucleotides in length. Their secondary structure includes four short double-helical elements and three loops (D, anti-codon, and T loops). The record is from Rfam by way of RNAcentral. Lineage: Eukaryota; Metazoa; Chordata; Mammalia; Carnivora; Felidae.